UGUGAGAGCAAGAGCCCGGAGAUGGAUUCUGAGACACGAAUCCAGGCCCUACGGGGUGCAGCAGGCGCGAAAACUUUACAAUGCCGGCAACGGCGAUAAGGGGGCCUCGAGUGCCAGGUUACAAAUCUGGCUGUCGUGAUGCCUAAAAAGCAUUGCAUAGCAAGGGCCGGGCAAGACCGGUGCCAGCCGCCGCGGUAACACCGGCGGCUCGAGUGGUAACCGUUAUUAUUGGGUCUAAAGGGUCUGUAGCCGGCCGGAUAAGUCUCUUGAGAAAUCCAGCAGCUCAACUGUUGGGCUUUCAGGAGAUACUGUUCGGCUCGAGGCCGGGAGAGGUGAGAGGUACUUCAGGGGUAGGGGUGAAAUCUUGUAAUCCUUGAAGGACCACCAGUGGCGAAGGCGUCUCACCAGAACGGCUCCGACAGUGAGGAACGAAAGCUGGGGGAGCAAACCGGAUUAGAUACCCGGGUAGUCCCAGCUGUAAACGAUGCGCGUUAGGUGUAUCGGUGACCACGAGUUACCGAGGUGCCGAAGGGAAACCGUGAAACGCGC
This 549-nucleotide ribosomal RNA is filed under the name uncultured archaeon. Its description in RNAcentral is "bacterial SSU rRNA". It matches the Rfam family "Archaeal small subunit ribosomal RNA", at positions 275 to 824 of the family's 1478-position model. The record is from RNAcentral.